CAGACCUCGUAGAGGUUCCAAUGAACUUAAAACACCUGAGUUUCCCAAUGUGUUCUCAGCUUGUUAUAAUUCUAGACAAAGGGGAGUAGCAAUUUUAAUACAUAAAAAUAUUAAUUUCACAGUACUCGAUACAGUUAUAGAUCCAGAGGGCAGAUUCUUAAUCAUUAAACUAUCUAUACUUGAUAAAAAGCUAUGUAUUGCAAGUGUAUAUGGUCCAAAUGUUGAUGAUCCCUCAUUCUUUCACGGUUUUUUCAGUGCACUCUCUGAACACUUAGAUGGCACACUUGUUCUUGGCGGUGACCUCAACCUUGGACUAAAUGAAGACAUGGAUAGGCUCAACACAGCGGGAACUCAGCGUAAUUGGCAGUCCACAAAUAUAAUCAAACAGUAUAUGAGCGACUUUGGUCUUUGCGAUGCAUGGCGCUCCCUUCACCCCACCAGUAAGGAAUAUACUUUUUUCUCACAUGUUCAUCACUCCUACUCUCGUCUGGAUUAUUUUUUGCUGUCAGCGAUCAUGGUCCUGUAUCUUUAACACUAAUGCACAAGAAUAAUACUACGCCAAGUAAAAACUGGAGAUUUAAUAUAUCACUACUUAAAGAUGAAGACUUUAUUAAAUAUUUUAAAAAAGAGUGGACUUCAUAUUUGGACUAUAAUGACACUCCCGGAACAUCAGCUUCUGUUCUAUGGGAAGCAGGGAAAGCUGUGAUGAGAGGUAAAAUAAUUUCUUUCUCAUCACACAAAAAGAAAGAAGAAAACAAAAAUAUUCAGGAAUUAGAAAAAAACCAUCAAAUCACUAGAAGAAGCCUACGCGUCCCACCAAGAUCAGGAAACAUUGAACAAAAUACGCAAAACAAAACUAGAAUUAAAUGAGAUAAUUGAUAAAAAAAAACAAAAUUCUUAGUACAAAGACUAGGCCUACAAAAUUAUGAACAUGGUAAUAAAUCCGGUCAAUUUCUAGCAAACCAGCUAAAAAUAAAUAAAGAAAAAACAAAUAUAUGUGCUGUUCAAGAUUCAUCUGGGAACACAAUAUAUGAACCGAUACAAAUAAACAACAUUUUCAGGGAUUUCUAUAAAACGUUGUAUUCACCACAAAUAAACCCAUCUAAAAAAGAAAUUGAUCAGUUUUUAGACAACAUAACUCUUCCAAAAUUAUUGGACACUCAAGCAAUGGCACUGGAUUCACCACUGACACCAGGUGAACUCCAGGAAGCUCUGAUAAGUAUGCCCAAUAAUAAGGCUCCAGGUCCAGACGGCUUUCCUGCAGAAUUCUACAAAGAAUUCUGGUCGAUUCUAGCACCAGUUUUCUACAGAACCUUGUUGGAAAUUAAAGAAAAGGGCAGACUUCCAUCAAAUAUGAAUUCUGCAAACAUUAAUCUCCUGCUAAAACCAGGCAAAGACCCUGUAUAUCCCUCAAGCUAUCGUCCAAUAUCCCUUAUAAAUGUUGACCUUAAAAUAAUC
Astatotilapia calliptera (eastern happy) is the source of this 1458-nucleotide long non-coding RNA. Lineage: Eukaryota; Metazoa; Chordata; Actinopteri; Cichliformes; Cichlidae. The record is from Ensembl.